AGAACGAACGCUGGCGGCAUGCCUAACACAUGCAAGUCGAACGGGACCUUCGGGUCUAGUGGCGCACGGGUGCGUAACGCGUGGGGAUCUGCCCUUAGGUACGGAAUAACAGUUAGAAAUGACUGCUAAUACCGUAUAAUGACUUCGGUCCAAAGAUUUAUCGCCUAGGGAUGAACCCGCGUAGGAUUAGCUUGUUGGUGAGGUAAAGGCUCACCAAGGCGACGAUCCUUAGCUGGUCUGAGAGGAUGAUCAGCCACACUGGGACUGAGACACGGCCCAGACUCCUACGGGAGGCAGCAGUGGGGAAUAUUGGACAAUGGGCGAAAGCCUGAUCCAGCAAUGCCGCGUGAGUGAUGAAGGCCUUAGGGUGUAAAGCUCUUUGCCCGGGAUGAUAAUGACAGUACCGGAGAAUAAGCUCCGGCUAACUCCGUGCCAGCAGCCGC
RNAcentral lists this ribosomal RNA (443 nucleotides) under uncultured soil bacterium. Its description in RNAcentral is "bacterial SSU rRNA". It matches the Rfam family "Bacterial small subunit ribosomal RNA", at positions 26 to 518 of the family's 1533-position model. The record is from RNAcentral.